Molecule: long non-coding RNA, 277 nt
Filed under: Vigna radiata
Lineage: Eukaryota; Viridiplantae; Streptophyta; Magnoliopsida; Fabales; Fabaceae
Description: long non-coding RNA (VRAD_LNC014219)
Source: RNAcentral
GUUGCAACUUGAAAUGGGGUCUCUUGGGUGUGUGUUUUCGGUGGGAGGAAGAAGAAAAUGCUGAAUGAUGUGUGUUGGGGUGAGAAGACCGAUUGGGACAAGGAAAGGAAGAGAGAGGAGUGCAUUUAAGUUUUUACCACUUUUGGGCAAACAAAAAAUAUGCUUAUUUUCAUUCUAGGAAGAUUUUCAUUUUAAUCUUUGUCUCUUUGCUUGCAAUUGUCGAGACCUACCUUGUGGUGGAGAAUAUUUUGUGUUUGCUUUCUUACAUUUGACCUUG